CAACGGCAGAGGCAGAUGAGCCUCCUUCACAAGGCCCCAGGAUUCAUCCAUCCACCCAUUCCUGCCUUUAUUCCAAGAAGAAGCCAAGGAAAGGAAGAACCAAAAGCUAUUCCAAGAAGAAGCCAAGAGAAAGGGGAAUCAACAAAGGCUCACAAACUCUCACACACAACUAAAUUAAAGAAGAAGCUCACAAGAAUUCUUCUUCUGAUCUGCAAGCCUCGUAUCGUAUAUUCGUAUCUUGCAGCAUGCCGCAUCCAAGCCAUCGACGAGGAGGAGGAGAUGAGCUGGCUGGUUCGAUCGAUCAGCCGCGAUCGUAGUAGCCGCGCGCCGCGGAGGAGAGGAAGGCCGGCACGUCGGGGGCGCCGGCGCCGGCGAGGCGGACGUAGUAGGGCGCGAGGGGCGA
Molecule: long non-coding RNA, 403 nt
Filed under: Setaria viridis
Lineage: Eukaryota; Viridiplantae; Streptophyta; Magnoliopsida; Poales; Poaceae
Description: long non-coding RNA (SVIR_LNC005236)
Source: RNAcentral